UUCUCUGGAGACACCUGCAAUGCAGGGGCCGAAGGUGCAACGACGCAUAUGCGUCUGGAAUCUCUCAGGCAAAAGGACAGAGUGA
Molecule: non-coding RNA, 85 nt
Filed under: human gut metagenome
Also listed under: 1 other name
Description: Glycine riboswitch
Rfam family: Glycine riboswitch aptamer
About the family: This family represents the bacterial glycine riboswitch. Glycine riboswitches usually consist of two metabolite-binding aptamers domains with similar structures in tandem.
Source: RNAcentral